Molecule: long non-coding RNA, 498 nt
Organism: Macaca mulatta (Rhesus monkey)
Lineage: Eukaryota; Metazoa; Chordata; Mammalia; Primates; Cercopithecidae
Source: RefSeq, a predicted model, not a curated record
AGGGAGAAAGAAGUCCAGAGGAACGGCCCUGGGUGCUGGGCUUUUCCAAAGGUGAUGCAACAGGGUCAGACAGAAGAGGAGGAGGUGGUGGGAGCUCCUGGGAAAGAAAAAACCAGUCUUGGUGUUGGAAAUCUAAGGGGAAACGGCUUAGCAGGACUGGUGGCAGCGUUAUUUAGGACGGGCAGGGGCACAGGAUCUGGGAGAGGAGGGCGGUCAGAGGCCUGGAGGAAGGGGCACGGGCCCAAAGGCAGGAGGAAGCAGAGAGAAGACAGCUGGUUCGGGCAGGCUUCCUUUGCUGGAGCACCCCAGCAAAGAAGAUUAGACAUCUGAAUCAGCUAUGUAAGGCAAAACCUACCGCGUGCUCAGAGACUCAGCGUCCUCACUGAAUGCGUCAUCACGACUGAUGAAGCAUAAGAGAAAACAAGAGAAACUGAAGAUCAUCUAUAUUUGGUUUUAGCAAAGAAUCACAAAUAAAUAUUAAAAUACACACUCAUAAAG